CACAUCAGCGCGCUUUGUUGACGUGGACACAAAUCGCGUACUCUGAAGCGCGAUUUAUUACCAUGUCAGCAAAGCGUGCAGACGUGG
Molecule: non-coding RNA, 87 nt
Organism: Gossypium raimondii (Peruvian cotton)
Lineage: Eukaryota; Viridiplantae; Streptophyta; Magnoliopsida; Malvales; Malvaceae
Source: Rfam